GCCUACGGGGGGCAGCAGUAGGGAAUCUUCCACAAUGGGCGAAAGCCUGAUGGAGCAACGCCGCGUGGGUGAAGAAGGUCUUCGGAUCGUAAAACCCUGUUGUUAGAGAAGAAAGUGCGUGAGAGUAACUGUUCACGUUUCGACGGUAUCUAACCAGAAAGCCGCGGCUAACUACGUGCCAGCAGCCGCGGUAAUACGUAGGUGGCAAGCGUUAUCCGGAUUUAUUGGGCGUAAAGGGAACGCAGGCGGUCUUUUAAGUCUGAUGUGAAAGCCUUCGGCUUAACUGGAGUAGUGCAUUGGAAACU
This 305-nucleotide ribosomal RNA is filed under the name uncultured bacterium. RNAcentral's name for it is "bacterial SSU rRNA". It matches the Rfam family "Bacterial small subunit ribosomal RNA", at positions 337 to 634 of the family's 1533-position model. The record is from RNAcentral.